This is a long non-coding RNA of Triticum aestivum (bread wheat), 2433 nucleotides long. RefSeq lists it as uncharacterized. Lineage: Eukaryota; Viridiplantae; Streptophyta; Magnoliopsida; Poales; Poaceae. The transcript is spliced from 9 exons. The record is from RefSeq and is a predicted model, not a curated record.
UGCCCGAUCUAGAUCUAACCAGCCGAGUUGAAAGAAAAUAUCUACCAUCAGCUCCGUGGAAGUGCCCGUCCCUAUAUCACACCCCCAUCACCCAGUUGGUGAACUCACUCCAGGUCUCCAGCAACCAUAUCCCUUCUCCUGCCCCGGACUCCUGCAGCAUCUGAAGCUCGCCUUCGCCGCGCGUCUGCAGGGCACUACAUGAAGUGACCUAGAACACAUGGAAGGGGAUACGUUCCAGGAAGAGGUCAAAUGCCUCAUGGAGGUGAAGCACAAAAACGUCGCACAGUUUCUAGGAUAUUGUGCCGACACACAAGGGAGAGUGGUUGACUUUGAGGGAAGAUUUGUAAUGGCAGAUGCACGACGUCAGUUCCUCUGUUUUAAGUAUCUACGCAAAGAUACAUACAGUGGAGUUGAAUGGAGAGAGCACUAUGAAAUAAUCAAGGAAAUUGCAAGGGUUUAUGGUACCUUCACCGUAAUCAUAUUGUUCACUUGGACCUAAAACCUGAUAAUAUAUUGUUGGAUGAUAAUAUGGUACCGAAAAUAGCUGACUUUGGUCUCUCAAAGUACUUUCGUGCCGGAUUAUCAUUUCAAAAUAUUGAUGAACAUCGGGUUAUUUGGCACCAGAAUUCUACGGUGGAAAACUCACAUUCAAGUCAGACAUAUACAGUUUGGGUGUUAUAAUCAUAGAGAUAUUAAUAUGUCAUAUGAAAUAUACCAAAGACUGCUCUGCUUUGAGUAUAUACCCAAAGGGUAUCUUUAUGAUUAUAUCACCGGUCACAUUCAAGUCAGACAUAUACAGUUUGGGUGUUAUAAUCAUAGAGAUACUAACAUGACAUAUGAGAUAUACCAAAGAUUGCUCUGCUUUGAGUAUGUACCUAAAGGGAGUCUUCAUGAUUAUAUCACCGAUGCAUCUCGUGGACUUGAAUGGGGCAAGAGGUACCUAAUUGUUAAAGGAAUUUGUGAGGGCUUAUAUUACCUUGAACAAGAAAGCAUUAUUCACUUAGAUCUGAAACCAGCCAAUAUAUUGAUGGACAACAAUAUGUUGCCCAAAAUUGCCGACUUUGGUCUCCCAAGAUGUAAGAUGUUAUGAUGAAAAUCAAAAUUGGAUCAAUGUAGGCCGAUUAAGUCUCUCAAAGCUCAUCAAUGGUGGCUUUGCAGUGGUUUAUAAGGGAAUUCUUUAAAAGGAGGCAAUCGCUGUGAAGAAGCUUUCCAACACGUCUUAUAUUCAUGGUAGUGAAUUCUAGUGAGAGGUUGAAUGUCUGAUGAAGGCCAAGCACAAAAAGUACGGUUUAUGAGUUAUUUGGCUAUGCACAUGGGGAAAUGGCUUCCUACGAGGGAAAAUUUUCCAUGGCAGAUGUACAACAAAGGUUGCUUUGCUUUGAGUAUCUACCGAAAGGAAGUCUUCGUGACUAUAUCAUCGAAUGCUUAUGGAUAUGAAUGGAGAGAGCGCUAUAAUAUAAUCAAAGGAAUUUGUGAGGGUUUAAGUUAUCUCCACAAGAACCAUAUUGUCACUUCGACUUAAAACCGACAAAUAUACUUUAUGGAAUAUAAUAUGGUUCCUAAAAUAGCUGACUUUGGUAUCUCAAGAUGUUUUGAUGAAACAAGGACUUGUUAUUACUUCAAAAGUGAUGGGAUUAGUGGGAUAUACUUUACUAAAAGUUCUUUUCAGUGGAAUAAUCACAUUCAAAUCAGACAUAUACAAUCUUAGUCUAUAUAUCAAUAAUUAUGGAGAUAUUGAUUAUGAUGAAGAGGUACUCAAAAAUUGGAGGAAUAGAUUGGACAGAUCACUGGGAGGCAGACAACUGGAACGAGUAUGCUCUGAGUGAUGGAGUGCAUUGACACCGAGCCAGCGAGGAAACCAAGUCCUUAGCAUAUGAGCAAGCACCUCAGCCGCCGGAGGGGUCGAUGCUCGUCAAUGUGGAUGCAACGAUCUUCUCCCAAUCUGCAAGAGCGGGCUUUGGUCCAGUGAUACAUAAUCACCUGGGAAGGGUGCACAGGCGGUGAACAGAGGCUACUUCGAAAGAGUUCAAAUUCCUGAAGUAGCAGAAGCCAUGGCACUUCUUCAAAGCCUUAACCCUUGCCAAUAAAUCUGGUAUAAUGAAGAUCAUGGUAGCAUCUGAUUGCCUAUCAUUGGGUUUAGGUUUUGAUAGGUCCCCUACUGGAGCCAUAGUCCAUGAUAUUAGAAAAUGUGCCACAAAAUUUGUAUCUUGUACUUUUAUCCAUGUCAAUCGUUCUUGUAGGCACUAGGCAGCACAUGUUCUGGUAUCCAUGUCAAUCGAUUCUUGUAGGCGGCAUAUGUUCAGCUAAAUCGGCAGAGCAUGAUGUUUGGUCCUGUUGGCUUAGUGGGUUCCCUGAUGUAAUCAGGACCAUUAUAUGUAACGAAUCAGUUAUGAAUGAAUAAAAGGGUGCAACUGCCCAUUACCUUGAAGAAAA